GACGAACGCUGGCGGCGCGCCUCAUACAUGCAAGUCGAACGUGAAGCCCGGAGCUUGCUCCGGGUGGAAAGUGGCGAACGGGUGAGGAACACGUGAGGAACCUGCCCCGAAGACUGGGAUAACACCGGGAAACCGGUGCUAAUACCGGAUGCCCUCACCGGAUCUCAUGUUCCGGUGAGGAAAUGGAUUCCGCUUCGGGAUGGCCUCGCGGCCUAUCAGCUUGUUGGUGGGGUAACGGCCCACCAAGGCUUCGACGGGUAGCUGGUCUGGGAGGAUGUCCAGCGACACUGGGACUGAGACACGGCCCAGACUCCUACGGGAGGCAGCAGUAGGGAAUCUUGCGCAAUGAGCGAAAGCUUGACGCAGCGACGCCGCGUGCGGGAUGAAGGCCCUCGGGUCGUAAACCGCUUUCAGCAGGGACGAAAUUGACGGUACCUGCAGAAGAAGGCCCGGCCAACUACGUGCCAGCAGCCGCGGUAA
Molecule: ribosomal RNA, 480 nt
Filed under: uncultured bacterium
Lineage: Bacteria
Description: partial 16S ribosomal RNA
Rfam family: Bacterial small subunit ribosomal RNA
Source: RNAcentral